RNAcentral lists this transfer RNA (72 nucleotides) under Camelus bactrianus (Bactrian camel). It matches the Rfam family "tRNA". Rfam says of the family: Transfer RNA (tRNA) molecules are approximately 80 nucleotides in length. Their secondary structure includes four short double-helical elements and three loops (D, anti-codon, and T loops). Further hydrogen bonds mediate the characteristic L-shaped molecular structure. tRNAs have two regions of fundamental functional importance: the anti-codon, which is responsible for specific mRNA codon recognition, and the 3' end, to which the tRNAs corresponding amino acid is attached (by aminoacyl-tRNA synthetases). tRNAs cope with the degeneracy of the genetic code in two manners: having more than one tRNA (with a specific anti-codon) for a particular amino acid; and 'wobble' base-pairing, i.e. permitting non-standard base-pairing at the 3rd anti-codon position. RNAcentral also lists the same sequence under 2 other names. The record is from Rfam by way of RNAcentral. Lineage: Eukaryota; Metazoa; Chordata; Mammalia; Artiodactyla; Camelidae.
GAGGGUGUAGCUCAGUGGUGGAGCGCAUGCUUAGCACGCACGAGGUCCUGGGUUCAACCCCCGGUACCUCCA